This is a small nucleolar RNA of Parambassis ranga (Indian glassy fish), 121 nucleotides long. NCBI's taxonomy places the organism in Eukaryota, Metazoa, Chordata, Actinopteri, Ambassidae. The record is from Ensembl.
CUCCAAUGAUGAUUCAGCCAUGCUAAUACUGAUACAUCGGACAGAUACGUGUUGUCUGUCCGGAUGUAAGUGAGUUCAACUCACCUUCUCACGCUGAUAGUAUCAGUGUGUGCUGAGGAGA